This 384-nucleotide unclassified non-coding RNA is filed under the name uncultured Phycisphaerae bacterium. RNAcentral's name for it is "contains 16S-23S intergenic spacer region". The record is from RNAcentral. Lineage: Bacteria; Pseudomonadati; Planctomycetota; Phycisphaerae.
UCCGGCUUGACGCCGGCAGUCUCGCUAGAGUCCCCGGCAUGACCCGCUGGUAACUAACGAUAAGGGUUUCGCUCGUUAAGGGACUUAACCCGACACUUCACAGCACGAGCUGACGACAGCCAUGCAGCACCUGUGCUAGUUUCACCAGAGGCAGCAUAGCCCGCUUUCACGGGUGCAUCCUAGCAUGUCAAACCCAGGUAAGGUUCUUCGCGUUGCUUCGAAUUAAUCCACAUGCUCCACCGCUUGUGUGAGCCCCCGUCAAUUCCUUUGAGUUUUAGCCUUGCGGCCGUACUCCCCAGGCGGCGCACUUAACGCUUUCGCUACGGCACCAAUACCCGUCAGAGGUUCUGAUACCUAGUGCGCAUCGUUUACGGCGUGGACUAC